GGGGGAGAGACCGCUGCGCCAGGCAGCGCGGCGGCACCGAAGGGGCAAAUCCACACUCUUGGAUGAAACUCUCAGGUAAAAGGACCGCGC
This 90-nucleotide non-coding RNA is filed under the name marine eukaryotic metagenome. Its description in RNAcentral is "Glycine riboswitch". It matches the Rfam family "Glycine riboswitch aptamer", at positions 12 to 83 of the family's 94-position model. Rfam says of the family: This family represents the bacterial glycine riboswitch. Glycine riboswitches usually consist of two metabolite-binding aptamers domains with similar structures in tandem. The record is from RNAcentral.